CACCGUUCUUAUGUAAAUGAGGCACAAUAUAUCAAGUACCUAUUUUCACCCGUAUAGCCAACGGCAAAAUCUAAAUGUUGACUGAGCUCAGAACGUCGCUGGUGAAACGGCUAUGGCCACAACUAUCUCAGUAUCUCUCAUGAAAGCUUCUUCUCUACUUCCAUAGGCGAAACGCAUCUACUCUCUUCUCAUCCCCACUAUCCAACCAAUAAAUAUCCUGAGGUCCGAAAUGACAGGGUCCUUCAUCGCUGCUCUUCAAUGAUGUCCAGUCAGCCCUAGGAGAUUCCGUACAAGUUGGUUUUCCGUGUUAUCCACUUGUGGGAAGCAGCAGGGAACACAUCAUCCUAAUCGGGCUUGAGUUGCUACUGAUUGAUGAACAUAGAUCAAUAUCCAAACCGGAGAAGAUGAAGAAGCUGCUGUGAAGCUGGAACCUACGAAGACGAGGCAUUCUCCACUACAGUAUAAAUGUAAAUACUAUAUAUUAUGUGGGGGAAGAGAAUUGGUUUCUAUGAUCAUUUGUACGAAUUUUAAUUUUCAACCCUCUCUCUCUGCCCUCUGUUGGCUUAACCUUCUUGGGCCGAGCAUGGAGACGUAUUAAAUUUCUGCAAUCGGAUGUUUACAUUCAAAUCUGUUUUAAUGCCUGCAGAUCAAUUGGUUAAUAUCAUUGAUAUGACUGGUGUGAUCUUAGUCCUAUGCAGACAGUGUUGGUGGUAUCAGUCUAUUACAGUCGACAUGCAAACAGUGGCGGAACCAGCUUAAUCUUCCACUAGGGUCAAUUUCAUUACAAACAUUAUUACAUGGGUCGUUAAGCUAAAUCUAUAGCAUUUUCUCAAUUUUUUCUUCAGUAUACAAGUAAAUUUUGUUAUUUUUACAAACCAUGUGGGUCAUAUGACCCCCCUGACCAAGAGAUGGCUCUGCCACUGCAUGCAAAUGAGGAGAUAAGAAGUUGCAAGAAUCUACAGCAAAUGGAGAUCCACACUCAUGUAUCUAUAGACAGCCAUCUGGUCAUGAAGUUCCAGGGUUUGUCGUGUUCAUUAUCCUCUGCUCUGAUAAACUGAUGAAGAGUUUCUGGAAAGUUGUGUAAGACGAAUCUUGGUUCCAAUCUCUGGGUCGAGCUCUGUUCCUGUCGGUUUGUCUGCAAUUCAUCUCCUCUGAAACGUUACGGGAUGCAUUAACCAUUCACCUUUAACACAACCUUCUUAACUCCCUUACCUCAUUCAAUGCCUCUUAGAGGCGGUGGAUCUCCACCUAUAAAAGGGUCAGUUUUCAUCCCAUGAACAUCAGUCUCAAACUUCCUACUCGCAGUUUGAACAAUCCUGAAGUUUCAAACUUUUAGAUGUAAAAGCAUCAUCUUCUCCUUGUGUAUCUUUCUCAAACACAUAAGAGACAUUAACCCUAGCAUUUUCUCAAUAUUGCAGAGUACUUGGAGUGGAUUUUGUAACGGAUGAUGUCAAAUGAAGGUCAAAAGGGUUUUCUUAUGUCACAUUCUCUUCUAAAGAAGAAGCUGUGAAAGCUUUAUGAGAGUUUGUAGACGGGCGGCUUUUGAUUCUUAGCACAACAAGAGUUGUAAACCAGAAUCGACCCUUCUUGCAUAUCAAAGACCCCAACACAAUCUGCAGUCCCUGGUCUUGGUUUAGGAUUCAUCUAUGAUGGUAUAGUGGUUAUUGGUCAAGAAUAGGUGUUGUCUCCUGAUCCUUCGAAUUGAGUUUCAGUGUGGAAGAACGAGAAUCAACCAUGGUCUCUCAUGAGGUUCCAUUGUCCCGCAAUAGCUCAUAAUUUUUCUGUAUUUUCCAUUUGUAGAAAGUAGCUUAGAAAGUCUAAAAGAUACUUGGCUUGAUUAUAGUAGAGUAACAUGUGAGAAAAUCACUAUCAAAAAUUGUCAACCUUUUUGUUUUUUGAUCGUGAGUACAAGUAUAUAGAAUGUGUAUUAGAAGUUUUUUUUGCUUAGAUUCUUUCAUAUUCUGACAUGUCUGUAUGGUCUUCAAGAACGUAACCUUUAUCUUUAUAAAAUGAGAGAAAAUUACAAAAUAGUA
This is a long non-coding RNA of Brassica napus (rape), 2033 nucleotides long. RefSeq lists it as uncharacterized. The transcript has 9 exons. NCBI's taxonomy places the organism in Eukaryota, Viridiplantae, Streptophyta, Magnoliopsida, Brassicales, Brassicaceae. The record is from RefSeq and is a predicted model, not a curated record.